GCGCCGGUGGUGUAAGGCGAACAUCGCUGCCCGGAAAGCAGAAGAUGCGGGUUCGAGUCCCGCCUGGCCCA
Molecule: non-coding RNA, 71 nt
Organism: Heligmosomoides polygyrus
Lineage: Eukaryota; Metazoa; Nematoda; Chromadorea; Rhabditida; Heligmosomidae
Source: Rfam